RNAcentral lists this non-coding RNA (21 nucleotides) under Caenorhabditis elegans. Lineage: Eukaryota; Metazoa; Nematoda; Chromadorea; Rhabditida; Rhabditidae. The record is from RNAcentral.
UGAGCUAUUCGAUUCGAUAUA